UACAGAGGAUGCAAGCGUUAUCCGGAAUUAUUGGGCGUAAAGCGUCUGUAGGUGGCUUUUUAAGUCCGCCGUCAAAUCCCAGGGCUCAACUCUGGACAGGCGGUGGAAACUACCAAGCUGGAGUACGGUAGGGGCAGAGGGAAUUUCCGGUGGAGCGGUGAAAUGCGUAGAGAUCGGGAGGAACACCAGUGGCGAAGGCGGCCUUCUGGACCAAUACUGACGCUCAUGCACGAAAGCGUGGGGAGCAAACAGG
This 253-nucleotide ribosomal RNA is filed under the name uncultured bacterium. Its description in RNAcentral is "partial 16S ribosomal RNA". It matches the Rfam family "Bacterial small subunit ribosomal RNA", at positions 524 to 776 of the family's 1533-position model. The record is from RNAcentral.